AUCUCCUUAGUAAGUCCAGUCUGCAGAAAUGAUGGGAGUUGGAAGCCACAGCUCUGUUGUCUUAAGGGCAUUGAAAAGGCUUUGAAAGUUGGUGACUGUUCUCACUUGCAACCCAAGGACACAACUGGAAUGAGGUGGUGAGCAAUGUCCCCAAGCCGUAGUUCAGAAGGGAAUGGAGGCCUUUUUACAAUAUUGAAAUAUCCAGACCCAUCUACAGGGAAGUCUUUGAAAUUCUUCCCACCACAGAAGCCAUGUUGGAAUUCUCAGCUUCAGUCCCACUAAGCCCUUGUGGGAAAGAAAGACUUCAGCUAUUAAUAUUCAAAAAAUAAAAUGAAUAACAAUGGAACGACAUUGGAACACUCAGAUAGGCAACCAACUCUGCUUUUGCUGUAAAAGUCAAGGAACAAUCUUGUGCAUCAAAGACACGAACCAAAAACUGCCUCAAAGCAAUUCAUCUGAACCUACCUGGAAUCUUUGCAGUGCAAAUGUAGUUGGUAUCGCUACCCAUGUACCUGCUGGAGUGCCCUUUGCAUUGGAAGAACAAAGAGGUCAUAGUGUUACCAUGUUUACAGAACUAUGAGAGAAAGGUUGAUAAACAAUUUAUAACCACUUUCACAGCAAAGAACACAUUUGAGCAUUUGGAGGCUGCUAUUUGCGCAGUUAACAAUUCACAAGGUGUGGUAGGUAGCCACCAGGAUGGUCCUCAGUGAUCCCCUGAUAUUGUGUAAUCCUUUUCCCUGGAAUGGGGUCUGGACUUAGUAGUGACUUGCUGCUAAUGAAUAGAAUAAGGCCCAGGUGACAGUGAUUGGAGACACAGUCAUAGAAGGCAGUGUGGCCUCUCGCAUCGUCAUCAUCUGUUCUGGGGCAAGCCAGCUGCCAUGUGUGAGCAGCCCUAUGAAGAGGCCCACAUGAUAAGGAACUGAAGCCUCUCGCCAACAACAUUGUGAGUAUUUUUGGAAGAGGAUGCUCUAGCCUCAUCAGGCUUUGAAUGGCUGUAAUCCCAGCUGACACCUCGAUUGCAACCUUGUGAGACAGAUCCAACCAGCCAAGCUGUUUCCUGAUUCUUCACUCGCAGAAACCGUGAAAUAAGAAAUGUUUAUUGUUUUAAGAUGCUAACGUUUGGCGUAAUCUGCUACACAGCAAUGGCUCACUAACACACAGGGGGUAUUAUGCUUCUAGAUUUAUCCCCUCGUUUAUUCAACAGGUAUUUACUGAGACACUACCACAUGCCUAAGCAGAGGUUAAUCAUCUACCAAACAUAAGAAACAUGUUAAGAAACCCUUCAUUUCUGGGCACUAUAUACAUAGCAUACAGAAAAGGAUUUUACCCUUGGAAAUUUGUGUUUGUGGUGGGUAUCUUUGGAAAUACAAUCUCCCACCUGGAGUUACUACUAUAAAUUUGCUAUUUAUAUA
Molecule: long non-coding RNA, 1412 nt
Organism: Lagenorhynchus albirostris (white-beaked dolphin)
Lineage: Eukaryota; Metazoa; Chordata; Mammalia; Artiodactyla; Delphinidae
Exons: 3
Source: RefSeq, a predicted model, not a curated record